This 72-nucleotide transfer RNA is filed under the name Saccoglossus kowalevskii. Its description in RNAcentral is "tRNA-Glu". It matches the Rfam family "tRNA". From Rfam's summary of the family: Transfer RNA (tRNA) molecules are approximately 80 nucleotides in length. Their secondary structure includes four short double-helical elements and three loops (D, anti-codon, and T loops). Lineage: Eukaryota; Metazoa; Hemichordata; Enteropneusta; Harrimaniidae. The record is from RNAcentral.
UCCCAUAUGGUCUAGUGGGUAGGAUUCGGCGCUUUCACCGCGAAGGCCCGGGUUCAAUUCCCGGUGUGGGAA